ACACUCCUACGGGAGGCAGCAGUGGGGAAUAUUGCACAAUGGGCGCAAGCCUGAUGCAGCCAUGCCGCGUGUAUGAAGAAGGCCUUCGGGUUGUAAAGUACUUUCAGCGGGGAGGAAGGCGAUAAGGUUAAUAACCUUGUCGAUUGACGUUACCCGCAGAAGAAGCACCGGCUAACUCCGUGCCAGCAGCCGCGGUAAUACGGAGGGUGCAAGCGUUAAUCGGAAUUACUGGGCGUAAAGCGCACGCAGGCGGUCUGUCAAGUCGGAUGUGAAAUCCCCGGGCUCAACCUGGGAACUGCAUUCGAAACUGGCAGGCUAGAGUCUUGUAGAGGGGGGUAGAAUUCCAGGUGUAGCGGUGAAAUGCGUAGAGAUCUGGAGGAAUACCGGUGGCGAAGGCGGCCCCCUGGACAAAGACUGACGCUCAGGUGCGAAAGCGUGGGGAGCAAACAGGAUUAGAAACCCGUGUAGUCCCAUGAU
RNAcentral lists this ribosomal RNA (477 nucleotides) under uncultured organism. Its description in RNAcentral is "partial 16S ribosomal RNA". It matches the Rfam family "Bacterial small subunit ribosomal RNA", at positions 333 to 801 of the family's 1533-position model. The record is from RNAcentral.